ACCACCUUCGGGUGAUGUAGAGCGGCGAACGGGUGAGUAACAGGUGGGUAAUCUGCCUCCUGGCGGGGGACAACAGCUGGAAACGGCUGCUAAUACCGCAUGUGAUUGCAGGCUUAUGGCUUGCAAGGAAAGGCGCUUCACGGCGCCACCAGGAGAUGAGCCCGCCCCCCAUUAGCUAGUUGGUGAGAUAACAGCCCACCAAGGCUUCGAUGGGUAGCCGAGCUGAGAGGUUGAUCGGCCACACUGGGACUGAGACACGGCCCAGACUCCUACGGGAGGCAGCAGUAGGGAAUCUUCCGCAAUGGACGAAAGUCUGACGGAGCAACGCCGCGUGAGUGAUGAAGGUUUUCGGAUCGUAAAGCUCUGUUGUUAGGGAAGAACAAGUGCGAGAGUAACUGCUCGCACCUUGACGGUACCUAACCAGAAAGCCACGGCUAACUACGUGCCAGCAGCCGCGGUAAUACGUAGGUGGCAAGCGUUGUCCGGAAUUAUUGGGCGUAAAGGGCUCGCAGGCGGUUUCUUAAGUCUGAUGUGAAAGCCCCCGGCUCAACCGGGGAGGGUCAUUGGAAACUGGGAAACUUGAGUGCAGAAGAGGAGAGUGGAAUUCCACGUGUAGCGGUGAAAUGCGUAGAGAUGUGGAGGAACACCAGUGGGCGAAGGCGACUCUCUGGUCUGUAACUGACGCUGAGGAGCGAAAGCGUGGGGAGCGAACAGGAUUAGAUACCCUGGUAGUCCACGCCGUAAACGAUGAGUGCUAAGUGUUAGGGGGUUUCCGCCCCUUAGUGCUGCAGCUAACGCAUUAAGCACUCCGCCUGGGGAGUACGGUCGCAAGACUGAAACUCAAAGGAAUUGACGGGGGCCCGCACAAGCGGUGGAGCAUGUGGUUUAAUUCGAAGCAACGCGAAGAACCUUACCAGGUCUUGACAUCCUCUGACAACCCUAGAGAUAGGGCUUUCCCUUCGGGGACAGAGUGACAGGUGGUGCAUGGUUGUCGUCAGCUCGUGUCGUGAGAUGUUGGGUUAAGUCCCGCAACGAGCGCAACCCUUGAUCUUAGUUGCCAGCAUUUAGUUGGGCACUCUAAGGUGACUGCCGGUGACAAACCGGAGGAAGGUGGGGAUGACGUCAAAUCAUCAUGCCCCUUAUGACCUGGGCUACACACGUGCUACAAUGGACAGAACAAAGGGCUGCAAGACCGCAAGGUUUAGCCAAUCCCAUAAAUCUGUUCUCAGUUCGGAUCGCAGUCUGCAGCUCGACUGCGUGAAGCUGGAAUCGCUAGUAAUCGCGGAUCAGCAUGCCGCGGUGAAUACGUUCCCGGGCCUUGUACACACCGCCCGUCACACCACGAGAGUUUGCAACACCCGAAGUCGGUGAGGUAACCUUUAUGGAGCCAG
RNAcentral lists this ribosomal RNA (1391 nucleotides) under uncultured Microbacterium sp. RNAcentral describes it as "bacterial SSU rRNA". It matches the Rfam family "Bacterial small subunit ribosomal RNA". The record is from RNAcentral. Lineage: Bacteria; Bacillati; Actinomycetota; Actinomycetes; Micrococcales; Microbacteriaceae.